GAUGAUCUCUCUCUCUAGGAAUUCUCUUUAUCUCUGUCAGCGUGCAUGUGGUGAGUAUGGCUCCUAGGAAGUCAAGCUAUCCUGCUUCCCGCCAAGAGGACAGCCACUGGCUCAAAGCAGGCAGAGGAAUCUGAGCGAUCAUCUUGAAAAGGGUAAUGAUGUGCAGUGCUGUCGGCCAAGGAGCAAGGAAGCUCUGACCGCAUGGUAUCCACAAGAUCUUAUGACAUGAAUGUCCUCAAGCUCAUCUAUCUAAAAUGACAAAGAAUGAAUCCUUUCUCAUCAUCCUUUCUUCCUCUUCCAGGUAGGGAA
Peromyscus maniculatus bairdii (prairie deer mouse) is the source of this 309-nucleotide non-coding RNA. The record is from RefSeq and is a predicted model, not a curated record. Lineage: Eukaryota; Metazoa; Chordata; Mammalia; Rodentia; Cricetidae.